Molecule: ribosomal RNA, 207 nt
Filed under: uncultured bacterium
Lineage: Bacteria
Description: partial 16S ribosomal RNA
Rfam family: Bacterial small subunit ribosomal RNA
Source: RNAcentral
CGCGUAGGUGGUUUGGUCAGUCAGAUGUGAAAGCCCUGGGCUUAACCUGGGAAUUGCAUUUGAUACUGCCAGACUAGAGUAUGGUAGAGGGAAGUGGAAUUCCGGGUGUAGCGGUGAAAUGCGUAGAUACCCGGAGGAACAUCAGUGGCGAAGGCGGCUUCCUGGACCAAUACUGACACUGAGGUGCGAAAGCGUGGGUAGCAAACA